RNAcentral lists this ribosomal RNA (644 nucleotides) under uncultured Iamia sp. RNAcentral describes it as "bacterial SSU rRNA". It matches the Rfam family "Bacterial small subunit ribosomal RNA", at positions 95 to 756 of the family's 1533-position model. The record is from RNAcentral. Lineage: Bacteria; Bacillati; Actinomycetota; Acidimicrobiia; Acidimicrobiales; Iamiaceae.
GCGGCGAACGGGUGAGUAACACGUGAGGAACCUGCCCCAAAGACCGGGAUAACUCUCCGAAAGGAGAGCUAAUACCGGAUAUCCUCUUCGGCUCGCAUGGGCUGAUGCGGAAAUGGAUUCCGCUUUGGGAGGGCCUCGCGGCCUAUCAGCUUGUUGGUGAGGUAACGGCUCACCAAGGCGUCGACGGGUAGCUGGUCUGAGAGGACGAUCAGCCACACUGGGACUGAGACACGGCCCAGACUCCUACGGGAGGCAGUAGUGGGGAAUCUUGCGCAAUGGGCGAAAGCCUGACGCAGCAACGCCGCGUGGGGGAUGAAGGCUUUCGGGUUGUAAACCCCUUUCAGCAGGGACGAUUAUGACGGUACCUGCAGAAGAAGGACCGGCCAACUACGUGCCAGCAGCCGCGGUAAUACGUAGGGUCCAAGCGUUGUCCGGAUUUAUUGGGCGUAAAGAGCUCGUAGGCGGUUCGGUAAGUCGGAUGUGAAAACUCGGGGCUCAACCCCGAGACGCCAUCCGAUACUGCUGUGACUUGAGUCUGGUAGGGGAACACGGAAUUCCUGGUGUAGCGGUGAAAUGCGCAGAUAUCAGGAGGAACACCGAUGGCGAAGGCAGUGUUCUGGGCCAGUACUGACGCUGAGGAGCGA